GCCAGACUCCUACGGGAGGCAGCAGUGGGGGAUAUUGCACAAUGGGGGGAACCCUGAUGCAGCGACGCCGCGUGGGUGAAGGAGUAUUUCGGUAUGUAAAGCCCUAUCGGCAGGGAAGAAGCAAGACGGUACCUGACUAAGAAGCCCCGGCUAACUACGUGCCAGCAGCCGCGGUAAUACGUAGGGGGCAAGCGUUAUCCGGAUUUACUGGGUGUAAAGGGAGCGUAGGCGGUUUAGCAAGUCAGAAGUGAAAGCCCGGGGCUCAACUCCGGGACUGCUUUUGAAACUGUUGAACUAGAUUGCAGGAGGGGUAAGUGGAAUUCCUAGUGUAGCGGUGAAAUGCGUAGAUAUUAGGAGGAACACCAGUGGCGAAGGCGGCUUACUGGACUGUAAAUGACGCUGAGGCUCGAAAGCGUGGGGAGCAGACAGGAUUAGAUACCCGCGUA
This 446-nucleotide ribosomal RNA is filed under the name uncultured bacterium. RNAcentral's name for it is "bacterial SSU rRNA". It matches the Rfam family "Bacterial small subunit ribosomal RNA", at positions 330 to 792 of the family's 1533-position model. The record is from RNAcentral.